GAGGUAAUGGCUCACCAAGGCGACGAUCAGUAUCUGGUUUGAGAGGACGAUCAGACACACUGGAACUGAGACACGGUCCAGACUCCUACGGGAGGCAGCAGUGGGGAAUUUUCCGCAAUGGGCGAAAGCCUGACGGAGCAAUACCGCGUGAGGGAUGACGGCCUAUGGGUUGUAAACCUCUUUUUUCAGGGAGGAAUCAAUGACGUGUACCUGAAGAAUAAGCAUCGGCUAACUCCGUGCCAGCAGCCGCGGUAAGACGGAGGAUGCAAGUGUUAUCCGGAAUCACUGGGCGUAAAGCGUCUGUAGGUGGUCUAGUAAGUCAACUGUUAAAUCUUGAGGCUCAACUUCAAAAUCGCAGUCGAAACUAUUAGACUAGAGUAUAGUAGGGGUAAAGGGAAUUUCCAGUGGAGCGGUGAAAUGCGUAGAGAUUGGAAAGAACACCGAUGGCGAAGGCACUUUACUGGGCUAUUACUGACACUGAGAGACGAAAGCUAGGGUAGCAAAUGGGAUUAGAUACCCCAGUAGUCCU
RNAcentral lists this ribosomal RNA (529 nucleotides) under uncultured Navicula. Its description in RNAcentral is "bacterial SSU rRNA". It matches the Rfam family "Bacterial small subunit ribosomal RNA", at positions 254 to 797 of the family's 1533-position model. Lineage: Eukaryota; Bacillariophyta; Bacillariophyceae; Naviculales; Naviculaceae. The record is from RNAcentral.